UCCCUACGGGAGGCAGCAGUGAGGAAUAUUGGUCAAUGGACGAGAGUCUGAACCAGCCAAGUAGCGUGAAGGAUGACUGUCCUAUGGGUUGUAAACUUCUUUUAUAAAGGAAUAAAACGAGGCACGUGUGCCUUUUUGCAUGUACUUUAUGAAUAAGGAUCGGCUAACUCCGUGCCAGCAGCCGCGGUAAUACGGAGGAUCCGAGCGUUAUCCGGAUUUAUUGGGUUUAAAGGGAGCGUAGAUGGGUUGUUAAGUCGGCGGUAAAAGCCCGGGGCUCAACCCCGGCGAGCCGUUGAAACUGGCUG
This 305-nucleotide ribosomal RNA is filed under the name uncultured bacterium. Its description in RNAcentral is "bacterial SSU rRNA". It matches the Rfam family "Bacterial small subunit ribosomal RNA", at positions 335 to 639 of the family's 1533-position model. The record is from RNAcentral.